CGGUGGGGCAUGUGGUUCAAUUUGACGCAACGGGAAAAACCUUACCUGGGUUUGACAUGUCGGUGGUAGGAAACCGAAAGGGGCCCGACCCCGCAAGGGGAGCCGACACAGGUGCUGCAUGGCUGUCGUCAGUUCGUGUCGUGAGAUGUUGGGUUAAGUCCCGCAACGAGCGCAACCCUCGCCCCUAGUUGCCAACGGAUCAUGCCGGGAAUUUUAGGGGGACUGCCCCGGUUAACGGGGAGGAA
RNAcentral lists this ribosomal RNA (245 nucleotides) under uncultured soil bacterium. RNAcentral's name for it is "partial 16S ribosomal RNA". It matches the Rfam family "Bacterial small subunit ribosomal RNA", at positions 930 to 1171 of the family's 1533-position model. The record is from RNAcentral.